AGAGUGAACGCUGGCGGUAGGCCUAACACAUGCAAGUCGAACGGCAGCACAGUAGGAGCUUGCUCUUACGGGUGGCGAGUGGCGGACGGGUGAGGAAUACAUCGGAAUCUACCUUUUGGUGGGGGAUAACGUAGGGAAACUUACGCUAAUACCGCAUACGCCCUUCGGGGGAAGCCGGGGACCAGCAAUGGCCUGGUGCUGAUAGAUGAGCCGAUGUCGGAUUAGCUAGUUGGUAGAGGUAAGUGGCUCACCGAAGGCGACGAGUCCGUAGCUGGUCUGGAGAGGAUGAUCAGCCACACGUAGGAACUGAACGACC
Molecule: ribosomal RNA, 316 nt
Filed under: uncultured soil bacterium
Lineage: Bacteria
Description: bacterial SSU rRNA
Rfam family: Bacterial small subunit ribosomal RNA
Source: RNAcentral